RNAcentral lists this ribosomal RNA (310 nucleotides) under uncultured Pseudomonas sp. RNAcentral's name for it is "bacterial SSU rRNA". It matches the Rfam family "Bacterial small subunit ribosomal RNA", at positions 1074 to 1382 of the family's 1533-position model. Lineage: Bacteria; Pseudomonadati; Pseudomonadota; Gammaproteobacteria; Pseudomonadales; Pseudomonadaceae. The record is from RNAcentral.
GUUGGGUUAAGUCCCGUAACGAGCGCAACCCUUGUCCUUAGUUACCAGCACGUUAUGGUGGGCACUCUAAGGAGACUGCCGGUGGACAAACCGGAGGAAGGUGGGGAUGACGUCAAGUCAUCAUGGCCCUUACGGCCUGGGCUACACACGUGCUACAAUGGUCGGUACAAAGGGUUGCCAAGCCGCGAGGUGGAGCUAAUCCCAUAAAACCGAUCGUAGUCCGGAUCGCAGUCUGCAGCUCGACUGCGUGAAGUCGGAAUCGCUAGUAAUCGUGAAUCAGAAUGUCACGGUGAAUACGUUCCCGGGCCUU